AACGAACGCUGGCGGCAUGCCUAACACAUGCAAGUCGAACGAGACCUUCGGGUCUAGUGGCGCACGGGUGCGUAACGCGUGGGAACCUGCCCUUAGGUUCGGAAUAACUCCCCGAAAGGGGUGCUAAUACCGGAUAAUGUCUUCGGACCAAAGAUUUAUCGCUUUUGGAUGGGCCCGCGUUGGAUUAGCUAGUUGGUAGGGUAAAAGCCUACCAAGGCGACGAUCCAUAGCUGGUCUGAGAGGAUGAUCAGCAACACUGGGACUGAGACACGGCCCAGACUCCUACGGGAGGCAGCAGUGGGGAAUAUUGGACAAUGGGCGAAAGCCUGAUCCAGCAAUGCCGCGUGAGUGAUGAAGGCCUUAGGGUUGUAAAGCUCUUUUACCCGGGAUGAUAAUGACAGUACCGGGAGAAUAAGCUCCGGCUAACUCCGUG
This 433-nucleotide ribosomal RNA is filed under the name uncultured bacterium. RNAcentral's name for it is "partial 16S ribosomal RNA". It matches the Rfam family "Bacterial small subunit ribosomal RNA", at positions 29 to 507 of the family's 1533-position model. The record is from RNAcentral.